AUUGAACGCUGGCGGCAUGCCUUACACAUGCAAGUCGAACGGCAGCACGGGGGCAACCCUGGUGGCGAGUGGCGAACGGGUGAGUAAUGCAUCGGAACGUGCCCAGGUAGUGGGGGAUAACUAGUCGAAAGAUUAGCUAAUACCGCAUACGACCUAUGGGUGAAAGCGGGGAUUCGCAAGAACCUCGCGCUAUCGGAGCGGCCGAUGUCUGAUUAGCUAGUGGCGGGGUAAAGGCCCACCAAGGCUUCGAUCAGUAGCUGGUCUGAGAGGACGACCAGCCACACUGGGACUGAGACACGGCCCAGACUCCUACGGAGGCAGCAGUGGGGAAUUUUGGACAAUGGGCGCAAGCCUGAUCCAAGCCAUGCCGCGUGCGGGAAGAAGGCC
This 387-nucleotide ribosomal RNA is filed under the name uncultured bacterium. RNAcentral describes it as "bacterial SSU rRNA". It matches the Rfam family "Bacterial small subunit ribosomal RNA", at positions 29 to 416 of the family's 1533-position model. The record is from RNAcentral.